This 2923-nucleotide ribosomal RNA is filed under the name Klebsiella pneumoniae. RNAcentral's name for it is "23S ribosomal RNA". It matches the Rfam family "Bacterial large subunit ribosomal RNA". The record is from RNAcentral. RNAcentral also lists the same sequence under 1 other name. Lineage: Bacteria; Pseudomonadati; Pseudomonadota; Gammaproteobacteria; Enterobacterales; Enterobacteriaceae.
GGGUUGUGAGGUUAAGCGACUAAGCGUACACGGUGGAUGCCCUGGCAGUCAGAGGCGAUGAAGGACGUGCUAAUCUGCGAAAAGCGUCGGUAAGGUGAUAUGAACCGUUACAGCCGGCGAUGUCCGAAUGGGGAAACCCAGUGCAAUUCGUUGCACUAUCGUUAACUGAAUACAUAGGUUAACGAGGCGAACCGGGGGAACUGAAACAUCUAAGUACCCCGAGGAAAAGAAAUCAACCGAGAUUCCCCCAGUAGCGGCGAGCGAACGGGGAGCAGCCCAGAGUCUGAAUCAGCUUGUGUGUUAGUGGAACGGUCUGGAAAGUCCGACGGUACAGGGUGAUAGUCCCGUACACCAAAAUGCACAGGCUGUGAACUCGAAGAGUAGGGCGGGACACGUGGUAUCCUGUCUGAAUAUGGGGGGACCAUCCUCCAAGGCUAAAUACUCCUGACUGACCGAUAGUGAACCAGUACCGUGAGGGAAAGGCGAAAAGAACCCCGGCGAGGGGAGUGAAAAAGAACCUGAAACCGUGUACGUACAAGCAGUGGGAGCACCUUCGGGUGUGACUGCGUACCUUUUGUAUAAUGGGUCAGCGACUUAUAUUCUGUAGCAAGGUUAACCGUAUAGGGGAGCCGCAGGGAAACCGAGUCUUAACUGGGCGUUAAGUUGCAGGGUAUAGACCCGAAACCCGGUGAUCUAGCCAUGGGCAGGUUGAAGGUUGGGUAACACUAACUGGAGGACCGAACCGACUAAUGUUGAAAAAUUAGCGGAUGACUUGUGGCUGGGGGUGAAAGGCCAAUCAAACCGGGAGAUAGCUGGUUCUCCCCGAAAGCUAUUUAGGUAGCGCCUCGUGAACUCAUCUUCGGGGGUAGAGCACUGUUUCGGCUAGGGGGUCAUCCCGACUUACCAACCCGAUGCAAACUACGAAUACCGAAGAAUGUUAUCACGGGAGACACACGGCGGGUGCUAACGUCCGUCGUGAAGAGGGAAACAACCCAGACCGCCAGCUAAGGUCCCAAAGUCAUGGUUAAGUGGGAAACGAUGUGGGAAGGCACAGACAGCCAGGAUGUUGGCUUAGAAGCAGCCAUCAUUUAAAGAAAGCGUAAUAGCUCACUGGUCGAGUCGGCCUGCGCGGAAGAUGUAACGGGGCUAAACCAUGCACCGAAGCUGCGGCAGCGACACUAUGUGUUGUUGGGUAGGGGAGCGUUCUGUAAGCCUGCGAAGGUGUGCUGUGAGGCAUGCUGGAGGUAUCAGAAGUGCGAAUGCUGACAUAAGUAACGAUAAAGCGGGUGAAAAGCCCGCUCGCCGGAAGACCAAGGGUUCCUGUCCAACGUUAAUCGGGGCAGGGUGAGUCGACCCCUAAGGCGAGGCCGAAAGGCGUAGUCGAUGGGAAACAGGUUAAUAUUCCUGUACUUGGUGUUACUGCGAAGGGGGGACGGAGAAGGCUAUGUUAGCCGGGCGACGGUUGUCCCGGUUUAAGCAUGUAGGCUGGUUAUCCAGGCAAAUCCGGAUAAUCAAGGCUGAGGUGUGAUGACGAGGCACUACGGUGCUGAAGUAACAAAUGCCCUGCUUCCAGGAAAAGCCUCUAAGCAUCAGGUAACAUCAAAUCGUACCCCAAACCGACACAGGUGGUCAGGUAGAGAAUACCAAGGCGCUUGAGAGAACUCGGGUGAAGGAACUAGGCAAAAUGGUGCCGUAACUUCGGGAGAAGGCACGCUGGUGUGUAGGUGAAGUCCCUGCGGAUGGAGCUGAGACCAGUCGAAGAUACCAGCUGGCUGCAACUGUUUAUUAAAAACACAGCACUGUGCAAACACGAAAGUGGACGUAUACGGUGUGACGCCUGCCCGGUGCCGGAAGGUUAAUUGAUGGGGUUAUCCGUAAGGAGAAGCUCUUGAUCGAAGCCCCGGUAAACGGCGGCCGUAACUAUAACGGUCCUAAGGUAGCGAAAUUCCUUGUCGGGUAAGUUCCGACCUGCACGAAUGGCGUAAUGAUGGCCAGGCUGUCUCCACCCGAGACUCAGUGAAAUUGAACUCGCUGUGAAGAUGCAGUGUACCCGCGGCAAGACGGAAAGACCCCGUGAACCUUUACUAUAGCUUGACACUGAACAUUGAGCCUUGAUGUGUAGGAUAGGUGGGAGGCUUUGAAGCGUGGACGCCAGUCUGCGUGGAGCCAACCUUGAAAUACCACCCUUUAAUGUUUGAUGUUCUAACGUUGGCCCCUGACCGGGGUUGCGGACAGUGUCUGGUGGGUAGUUUGACUGGGGCGGUCUCCUCCCAAAGCGUAACGGAGGAGCACGAAGGUUAGCUAAUCCUGGUCGGACAUCAGGAGGUUAGUGCAAUGGCAUAAGCUAGCUUGACUGCGAGCGUGACGGCGCGAGCAGGUGCGAAAGCAGGUCAUAGUGAUCCGGUGGUUCUGAAUGGAAGGGCCAUCGCUCAACGGAUAAAAGGUACUCCGGGGAUAACAGGCUGAUACCGCCCAAGAGUUCAUAUCGACGGCGGUGUUUGGCACCUCGAUGUCGGCUCAUCACAUCCUGGGGCUGAAGUAGGUCCCAAGGGUAUGGCUGUUCGCCAUUUAAAGUGGUACGCGAGCUGGGUUUAGAACGUCGUGAGACAGUUCGGUCCCUAUCUGCCGUGGGCGCUGGAGAAUUGAGGGGGGCUGCUCCUAGUACGAGAGGACCGGAGUGGACGCAUCACUGGUGUUCGGGUUGUCAUGCCAAUGGCACUGCCCGGUAGCUAAAUGCGGAAGAGAUAAGUGCUGAAAGCAUCUAAGCACGAAACUUGCCCCGAGAUGAGUUCUCCCUGAGACUAUAAGUCUCCUGAAGGAACGUUAAAGACGAUGACGUUGAUAGGCCGGGUGUGUAAGCGCAGCGAUGCGUUGAGCUAACCGGUACUAAUGAACCGUGAGGCUUAACCUUACAACGCCGAAG